This is a long non-coding RNA of Callithrix jacchus (white-tufted-ear marmoset), 541 nucleotides long. Lineage: Eukaryota; Metazoa; Chordata; Mammalia; Primates; Cebidae. The record is from Ensembl.
CCAACAGAGGACUUCCAGACUGGAACUAAACCACUGCCUCUCCGGGGUCUCCAGCCUGCCAGCCCACACGUCAGAUUUGGACGUGCCAGCCUCAAUAACUGCAUGAGCCAAUUCUUCGUAAAAAGUCUACUUCUUCAUGUACACAUCCUCUUCACUCUCUUUCUCUGGGGAAUCCUGACUAAUACAUCCGGUGCAGACAAGCUUCUCCCCAGUGUGGUUGGUCUGAUUCACACUCACCCUGGAAGGGUCUAGCUUUCCUGUCUCUCACCUCCUUGUGGGGUGUGAAAGCCAAGUGGAUUUUUGUCAGUCUGAUGGAAUCCGAUGCAGGAUCCCACAUUGCGUUUGGUUGUCUCAUCUCCUGCAGGGUUUCACAAGUUCUCAGUCUUUCUUUGCCAUUCAUGAAGUUGACAUCCAUGAAGAGCACUGAGCUGCUCCAGUGUCAUGGGAAGACUCCUCAAAGCCCCAGCUCUGUUAAUUAAAUGAAACAAAACCAUCCUACACCACAACUGCUGGGCACGCUCACGCAGAGUAUCCAAAGAAG